RNAcentral lists this ribosomal RNA (374 nucleotides) under uncultured organism. RNAcentral describes it as "partial 16S ribosomal RNA". It matches the Rfam family "Bacterial small subunit ribosomal RNA", at positions 527 to 896 of the family's 1533-position model. The record is from RNAcentral.
GUAGGUGGCAAGCGUUGUCCGGAAUUAUUGGGCGUAAAGCGCGCGCAGGCGGUUCUUUAAGUCUGACGUGAAAGCCCACGGCUCAACCGUGGAGGGUCAUUGGAAACUGGAGAACUUGAGUACAGAAGAGGAACGCGGAAUUCCACGUGUAGCGGUGAAAUGCGUAGAGAUGUGGAGGAACACCAGUGGCGAAGGCGGCUUUCUGGUCUGUAACUGACGCUGAGGCGCGAAAGCGUGGGGAGCAAACAGGGAUUAGAUACCCUGGUAGUCCACGCCGUAAACGAUGAGUGCUAAGUGUUAGGGGGGUUUCCGCCCCCUUAGUGCUGCAGCUAACGCAUUAAGCACUCCGCCUGGGGAGUACGGCCGCAAGGCUG